This 484-nucleotide ribosomal RNA is filed under the name uncultured bacterium. Its description in RNAcentral is "partial 16S ribosomal RNA". It matches the Rfam family "Bacterial small subunit ribosomal RNA", at positions 30 to 507 of the family's 1533-position model. The record is from RNAcentral.
AUUGAACGCUGGCGGAAUGCUUUACACAUGCAAGUCGAGCGGCAGCGCGGCCUUCGGGCUGGCGGCGAGCGGCGAGCGGGUGAGUAAUGCAUCGGAACAUGCCCAGUCGUGGGGGAUAACACUUCGAAAGAAGUGCUAAUACCGCAUACGUCCUGAGGGGGAAAGCGGGGGAUCGUAAGACCUCGCGCGAUUGGAGUGGCCGAUGUCAGAUUAGCUAGUUGGUGGGGUAAAGGCCUACCAAGGCGACGAUCUGUAGCUGGUCUGAGAGGAUGAUCAGCCACACUGGGACUGAGACACGGCCCAGACUCCUACGGGAGGCAGCAGUGGGGAAUUUUGGACAAUGGGGGCAACCCUGAUCCAGCCAUUCCGCGUGAGUGAAGAAGGCCUUCGGGUUGUAAAGCUCUUUCGGCAGGAACGAAACGGUGGGCUCUAACAUAGUCCGCUAAUGACGGUACCUGAAGAAGAAGCACCGGCUAACUACGUG